GACGAACGCUGGCGGCGUGCUUAACACAUGCAAGUCGAACGGAAAGGCCUGCUUUCCCUUGUUGAUUUCUUGUGCUCGAGUGGCUAACUGGUGAGUAACACGUGUAUGAUCUGCCCCCAACUUGGUUAUAAGCCUGGUAAACUGUGUCUAAUUCCCGUUUGGACUGCAUGGUUGUGCCUGUGGUGGAAAUCGUUUUUUUAGUUGUAGGGGAUGCGCUGGCGGCUUAUCAGCUUGUUGGUGGGGUAAUCGCCUACAAAGGCGGAGACCGGUAGCCGGAGUGUGAGCGUGGACGGUCACAUUGAGACUGGGAUCAGACCCCGACUGCUAGGAGAGGCAGGAGUUGGGAAUAUUAGAGCAUGAGCGGAAGGGUGAUGCAGCGACGCCGCGAGGAGGAUGACGGCAUUCGGGUUGUAAGCUACUUUCGAACGAGAGGUAGCUAACUGGUUGGGAGGGUGGUGACGGUAGUGAUAGAAGAAGCACCGGCUAACUACGUG
RNAcentral lists this ribosomal RNA (494 nucleotides) under uncultured bacterium. Its description in RNAcentral is "partial 16S ribosomal RNA". It matches the Rfam family "Bacterial small subunit ribosomal RNA", at positions 28 to 507 of the family's 1533-position model. The record is from RNAcentral.